GCUAGUAGGAGGACAUUACACAAAUAUGAAGGCGGGCUGGAACCUCUCGGGGUUACAGCCUUGCUGAAUUAUUCACCCUUGUCUUUUGCGUACUUCUUGUUUCCUUGGUGGGUUCGCCCACCACUAGGACAAACAUAAACCUUUUGUAAUUGCAAUCAGCGUCAGUAACAAAUUAAUAAUUACAACUUUCAACAACGGAUCUCUUGGUUCUGGCAUCGAUGAAGAACGCAGCGAAAUGCGAUAAGUAGUGUGAAUUGCAGAAUUCAGUGAAUCAUCGAAUCUUUGAACGCACAUUGCGCCCUUUGGUAUUCCAAAGGGCAUGCCUGUUCGAGCGUCAUUUGUACCCUCAAGCUUUGCUUGGUGUUGGGCGUCUUGUCUCUAGCUUUGCUGGAGACUCGCCUUAAAGUAAUUGGCAGCCGGCCUACUGGUUUCGGAGCGCAGCACAAGUCGCACUCUCUAUCAGCAAAGGUCUAGCAUCCAUUAAGCCUUUUUUUCAACUUUUGACCUCGGAUCAGGUAGGGAUACCCGCUGAACUUAAGCAUAUCAAAAAGGGGGAAAAAA
This 561-nucleotide ribosomal RNA is filed under the name Alternaria alternata. Its description in RNAcentral is "eukaryotic LSU rRNA". The stretch from base 184 to 337 matches the Rfam family "5.8S ribosomal RNA". Lineage: Eukaryota; Fungi; Ascomycota; Dothideomycetes; Pleosporales; Pleosporaceae. The record is from RNAcentral.